GAGUUUGAACCUGGCUCAGGAUGAACGCUGGCGGCGUGCCUAAUACAUGCAAGUCGAGCGAACCACUUCGGUGGUGAGCGGCGAACGGGUGAGUAACACGUAGGUGAUCUGCCCAUCAGACGGGGACAACGAUUGGAAACGAUCGCUAAUACCGGAUAGGACGAAAGUUUAAAGGUGCUUCUGGCACCGCUGAUGGAUGAGCCUGCGGCGCAUUAGCUAGUUGGUAGGGUAAAGGCCUACCAAGGCGACGAUGCGUAGCCGACCUGAGAGGGUGAACGGCCACACUGGGACUGAGACACGGCCCAGACUCCUACGGGAGGCAGCAGUAGGGAAUCUUCGGCAAUGGGCGAAAGCCUGACCGAGCAACGCCGCGUGAAUGAUGAAGGCCUUCGGGUUGUAAAAUUCUGUUAUAAGGGAAGAACGACUUUAGUAGGAAAUGGCUAGAGUGUGACGGUACCUUAUGAGAAAGCCACGGCUAACUACGUGCCAGCAGCCGCGGUAAUACGUAGGUGGCGAGCGUUAUCCGGAAUCAUUGGGCGUAAAGAGCGCGCAGGUGGUUGAUUAAGUCUGAUGUGAAAGCCCACGGCUUAACCGUGGAGGGUCAUUGGAAACUGGUCGACUUGAGUGCAGAAGA
This 634-nucleotide ribosomal RNA is filed under the name uncultured bacterium. RNAcentral describes it as "bacterial SSU rRNA". It matches the Rfam family "Bacterial small subunit ribosomal RNA", at positions 9 to 655 of the family's 1533-position model. The record is from RNAcentral.